This 465-nucleotide ribosomal RNA is filed under the name uncultured bacterium. RNAcentral describes it as "partial 16S ribosomal RNA". It matches the Rfam family "Bacterial small subunit ribosomal RNA", at positions 28 to 507 of the family's 1533-position model. The record is from RNAcentral.
GACGAACGCUGGCGGCGUGCUUAACACAUGCAAGUCGAACGGAAAGGCCCUGCUUGCAGGGUACUCGAGAGGCGAACGGGUGAGUAACACGUGGGUGAUCUGCCCUGCACUUCGGGAUAAGCCUGGGAAACUGGGUCUAAUACCGGAUAUGACCUUCCAUGUAGUGUGGGGGGUGGAAAGAUUUAUCGGUGUGGGAUGAGCCCGCGGCCUAUCAGCUUGUUGGUGGGGUAAUGGCCUACCAAGGCGUCGACGGGUAGCCGGCCUGAGAGGGUGGACGGCCACAUUGGGACUGAGAUACGGCCCAGACUCCUACGGGAGGCAGCAGUGGGGAAUAUUGCACAAUGGGCGGAAGCCUUAUGCAGCGACGCCGCGUGGGGGAUGACGGCCUUCGGGUUGUAAACCUCUUUCGACAGGGACGAAGCUUCGGUGACGGUACCUGUAUAAGAAGCACCGGCUAACUACGUG